RNAcentral lists this ribosomal RNA (852 nucleotides) under Dendrographa decolorans. RNAcentral's name for it is "LSU rRNA". It matches the Rfam family "Eukaryotic large subunit ribosomal RNA", at positions 72 to 941 of the family's 3401-position model. Lineage: Eukaryota; Fungi; Ascomycota; Arthoniomycetes; Arthoniales; Roccellaceae. The record is from RNAcentral.
GGAUUGCCCUAGUAACGGCGAGUGAAGCGGCAACAGCUCAAAUUUGAAAUCUGGCCCCUCCGGGGUCCGAGUUGUAAUUUGCAGAGGGUGCUUCGGCGUUGGCCCCGGGUCAAGUCCCCUGGAACGGGGCGCCCUAGAGGGUGAGAACCCCGUACCCACCCGGGUGCCCUUCGCCGUGUGAAGCCCCUUCGACGAGUCGAGUUGUUUGGGAAUGCAGCUCUAAGCGGGAGGUAAAUUUCUUCUAAAGCUAAAUACCGGCCAGAGACCGAUAGCGCACAAGUAGAGUGAUCGAAAGAUGAAAAGCACUUUGGAAAGAGAGUUAAAAAGCACGUGAAAUUGUUGAAAGGGAAGCUCUUGCCGCCAGACUUGCCACGGCUGCUCAGCCGCCCCCCGGGGCGGUGUACUCUUCCGUCGGCAGGCCAGCGUCGGUUCGGGCGGCCGGACAAAGGCCCUGGGAAUGUAGCACCCCUCGGGGUGUGUUAUAGCCCGGGGCGUAAUGCGGUCAGCCCGGUCCGAGGCACGCGUUCGCGAGGACGCUGGCGUAAUGGUUGCAAGCGACCCGUCUUGAAACACGGACCAAGGAGUCUAACAUCUGUGCGAGUGUUUGGGCGUCAAACCCAUGCGCGUAAUGAAAGUGAACGGAGGUGGGAACCCCCUCGAGGGGCGCACCAUCGACCGAUCCUGAUGUCUUCGGAUGGAUUUGAGUAAGAGCAUAGCUGUUGGGACCCGAAAGAUGGUGAACUAUUCCCGGAUAGGGUGAAGCCAGAGGAAACUCUGGUGGAGGCUCGCAGCGGUUCUGACGUGCAAAUCGAUCGUCAAAUCUAGGAAUAGGGGCGAAAGACUAAUCGAACC